This is a long non-coding RNA of Ictalurus punctatus (channel catfish), 942 nucleotides long. The record is from Ensembl. Lineage: Eukaryota; Metazoa; Chordata; Actinopteri; Siluriformes; Ictaluridae.
AAAAAAAGGAAAAAAAAUCUCAUUAUUAGUGCCAGGAAGAAAUCCUCUUUGCUCUGGGCUGCGUGUUGUGGGUGUUGGAGCAGUGGGGAGGUGGGGGUUGAAUAGAGCGUAGAGCUCUGUGUGUGUGUGUGUGUGUGUGUGUGUGUGGAAGGAGAAGAGAAUGGAAAUGCAGAGAGAGGACUGCGAGAGAGAUACUGGAGUCAGUCAACCUGAUCGCCAACAAAUUUAGUAGGAAAGAAAUCGGAAGCAAAGCGACGGCCGAGCUAUAACUCCACCCCGAGGAUGAAUGGUGCGGAAAACAAAAAAAAACAUCCGGGACUACAGGCGAAAAACACUAUGUCGGAUGAGAACGAAAGAUGGGUUCAAGCUGGCAGGGAGGCUGUAGCGACUCUUUACAAGCGUGCUCGAGGAGAGGCACAGGCAUGUCUGCGAGAAAAGAAGUGGAGAAAACAGCUUCUUUUUUUUCCUGAAGGCUUGCUGGGCUGUCUUGACGGCGACGAAGCAAGUUAACGACAUGCAAAUGAAAUGCGAGCACGCCGUAUCUUCACUCCACGGCCUAAUGAGAAAUUCCCGGAUUUUUCCAGCACACAAAUGGAGGAAACCCCUCCCCACCACCACCACCACCACCACCAUUAACUACAAAAUGUCUGGAUGUCUGUAGGUGCCAUUUUUGAUUUGGAACCGUGCCACUGAUAAAAAUGUGUCUUGCCAGACCAGACCCAUAAAAAGAGACAUUUAAAUUCUCUCGAGGUUACGUAUUGGGCAUAAAUUAGCAACUCCAGUCCACAGUAAUCAGUUCCACAGGCUCGGCUGCAUUAGAAGAUUCAGUGAGGUCAUCGAGUGUGUAACGCGGCUGGCGAGUGCCGUGCAUCUUUGCAAAUGUGACCACAAUGAGUCAGGGCGAAGCAGCAGCGGAGAAAACGUGGAACCGGAGUCUGGAAC